UGUGAGCUCGAUGAGUAGGGCGGGACACGUGGUAUCCUGUCUGAAUAUGGGGGGACCAUCCUCCAAGGCUAAAUACUCCUGACUGACCGAUAGUGAACCAGUACCGUGAGGGAAAGGCGAAAAGAACCCCGGCGAGGGGAGUGAAAAAGAACCUGAAACCGUGUACGUACAAGCAGUGGGAGCCUCUUAAUGGGGUGACUGCGUACCUUUUGUAUAAUGGGUCAGCGACUUAUAUUCUGUAGCAAGGUUAACCGAAUAGGGGAGUCGAAGGGAAACCGAGUCUUAACUGGGCGUUAAGUUGCAGGGUAUAGACCCGAAACCCGGUGAUCUAGCCAUGGGCAGGUUGAAGGUUGGGUAACACUAACUGGAGGACCGAACCGACUAAUGUUGAAAAAUUAGCGGAUGACUUGUGGCUGGGGGUGAAAGGCCAAUCAAACCGGGAGAUAGCUGGUUCUCCCCGAAAGCUAUUUAGGUAGCGCCUCGUGAAUUCAUCUCCGGGGGUAGAGCACUGUUUCGGCAAGGGGGUCAUCCCGACUUACCAACCCGAUGCAAACUGCGAAUACCGGAGAAUGUUAUCACGGGAGACACACGGCGGGUGCUAACGUCCGUCGUGAAGAGGGAAACAACCCAGACCGCCAGCUAAGGUCCCAAAGUCAUGGUUAAGUGGGAAACGAUGUGGGAAGGCCCAGACAGCCAGGAUGUUGGCUUAGAAGCAGCCAUCAUUUAAAGAAAGCGUAAUAGCUCACUGGUCGAGUCGGCCUGCGCGGAAGAUGUAAACGGGGCUAAACCAUGCACCGAAGCUGCGGCAGCGACACUAUGUGUUGUUGGGUAGGGGAGCGUUCUGUAAGCCUGUGAAGGUGGCCUGUGAGGGUUGCUGGAGGUAUCAGAAGUGCGAAUGCUGACAUAAGUAACGAUAAAGCGGGUGAAAAGCCCGCUCGCCGGAAGACCAAGGGUUCCUGUCCAACGUUAAUCGGGGCAGGGUGAGUCGACCCCUAAGGCGAGGCCGAAAGGCGUAGUCGAUGGGAAACAGGUUAAUAUUCCUGUACUUGGUGUUACUGCGAAGGGGGGACGGAGAAGGCUAUGUUGGCCGGGCGACGGUUGUCCCGGUUUAAGCGUGUAGGCUGAUUUUCCAGGCAAAUCCGGAAAAUCAAGGCUGAGGCGUGAUGACGAGGCACUACGGUGCUGAAGCAACAAAUGCCCUGCUUCCAGGAAAAGCCUCUAAGCAUCAGGUAACAUCAAAUCGUACCCCAAACCGACACAGGUGGUCAGGUAGAGAAUACCAAGGCGCUUGAGAGAACUCGGGUGAAGGAACUAGGCAAAAUGGUGCCGUAACUUCGGGAGAAGGCACGCUGAUAUGUAGGUGAAGUCCCUCGCGGAUGGAGCUGAAAUCAGUCGAAGAUACCAGCUGGCUGCAACUGUUUAUUAAAAACACAGCACUGUGCAAACACGAAAGUGGACGUAUACGGUGUGACGCCUGCCCGGUGCCGGAAGGUUAAUUGAUGGGGUUAGCGGCAACGCGAAGCUCUUGAUCGAAGCCCCGGUAAACGGCGGCCGUAACUAUAACGGUCCUAAGGUAGCGAAAUUCCUUGUCGGGUAAGUUCCGACCUGCACGAAUGGCGUAAUGAUGGCCAGGCUGUCUCCACCCGAGACUCAGUGAAAUUGAACUCGCUGUGAAGAUGCAGUGUACCCGCGGCAAGACGGAAAGACCCCGUGAACCUUUACUAUAGCUUGACACUGAACAUUGAGCCUUGAUGUGUAGGAUAGGUGGGAGGCUUUUGAAGUGUGGACGCCAGUCUGCAUGGAGCCGACCUUGAAAUACCACCCUUUAAUGUUUGAUGUUCUAACGUUGGCCCGUAAUCCGGGUUGCGGACAGUGUCUGGUGGGUAGUUUGACUGGGGCGGUCUCCUCCUAAAGAGUAACGGAGGAGCACGAAGGUUGGCUAAUCCUGGUCG
Molecule: ribosomal RNA, 1952 nt
Filed under: Escherichia coli J96
Lineage: Bacteria; Pseudomonadati; Pseudomonadota; Gammaproteobacteria; Enterobacterales; Enterobacteriaceae
Description: bacterial LSU rRNA
Rfam family: Bacterial large subunit ribosomal RNA
Source: RNAcentral